CCUACUUGAGGCUGCAGGGGGGAAUAUUGGACAAUGGGGGCAACCCUGAUCCAGCCAUGCCGCGUGUGUGAAGAAGGCCCUCGGGUUGUAAAGCACUUUCAGUGAGGAAGAACGCCUGGUGGUUAAUACCCAUCAGGAAAGACAUCACUCACAGAAGAAGCACCGGCUAACUCCGUGCCAGCAGCCGCGGUAAUACGGAGGGUGCGAGCGUUAAUCGGAAUUACUGGGCGUAAAGCGCGCGUAGGUGGCUUGAUAAGCCGGUUGUGAAAGCCCCGGGCUCAACCUGGGGACGGCAUCCGGAACUGUCAAGCUAGAGUGCAGGAGAGGAAGGUAGAAUUCCCGGUGUAGCGGUGAAAUGCGUAGAGAUCGGGAGGAAUACCAGUGGCGAAGGCGGCCUUCUGGACUGACACUGACACUGAGGUGCGAAAGCGUGGGUAGCAAACAGGAUUAGAUACCCCUGUAGUC
This 465-nucleotide ribosomal RNA is filed under the name Vreelandella stevensii. RNAcentral describes it as "partial 16S ribosomal RNA". It matches the Rfam family "Bacterial small subunit ribosomal RNA", at positions 338 to 795 of the family's 1533-position model. The record is from RNAcentral. Lineage: Bacteria; Pseudomonadati; Pseudomonadota; Gammaproteobacteria; Oceanospirillales; Halomonadaceae.